This is a long non-coding RNA of Cygnus olor (mute swan), 1155 nucleotides long. RefSeq lists it as uncharacterized. The record is from RefSeq and is a predicted model, not a curated record. Lineage: Eukaryota; Metazoa; Chordata; Aves; Anseriformes; Anatidae. The transcript is spliced from 3 exons.
CUUCUAAAAGACUCUGUUAGUCAGACAUUUGCACUGAAAAUAAACCUAAAAACAGUGAAUUAGGAUCAGCUGUACAACUCUUCAACAACAGGAAAGCAUCACUGAAGGCUAUGCACUGAAAAGCACUGUCCAAUGAAAAAGCAGUGAAAGACCUAGAGAGAAACCUGAGAACAUCUGGCACCUGGCUGGCAGCUUCACAGAUGUGAGCAAAAAUAAUAGGUGCAAAUCCUUUGGAAAAACAUGGGCUGGAGGUUGCAUUGGAAGGGGUGGCAGUGUAGAAUUUCAUCCUUCUGUGAAUAAAUGGAUUGACUUACAAAAAACAAAGGUGUAAUGAAUGUAAGUUACUGAAAACCUGAAGCAUGAUGACCGUACAUCUAAUGCAUUACUAUAAUGGAAACUGCUGGGUGUAAAAGUUAUCAUUUGUAGUAUUGUUUAAGAGCUUCAGCAAUUUUUAUUGUGCAUUAUUAAUUGUGAGAUGCCUCCUGGGCAAAGCUAGGCAAUAUAAAAUAGGAAGCCAUGCUUAAACCCAAGCUUAUUAAAUGCUUGAUAUAAUUUUGAUUUAUCUAGCCCUUAUAUUUAUCCCUUGUGGUAACUUUUACAAUUCUAGAUACUAAGUUAGGCUUCUGUACACAUUGCUUCAUGAUUCUCCUUCAAGGUUCCAGCAGAAAACUGUAGAGCUGUUGAUACUUACAAGUUCAGUUUACAAAUCUUUGACAUCCCAGAACUUUUUCCACUAGAAAAAAAAUCAAUGUGUCUCACAGUGAUGUCUUCAGUGCUUUUUGGUGAGAUAUAAUAUGACCGAGGAAUAAAGCAGAAGUCUGUGAGGCACAAUGAAAACACCAGAUUUCUGCAGAAAAUAUUUAUAUAAAUAUGCUAGACUUAAAGUGAAAUAACGUUAAAUGGCUUCUUUGAAGACAUUCACCUUUUCUGUCUGGAAAUCUCAUUUUACAACUUCCUUUUCCUUCUGACUGACACUCACUCUGAAGGAUGCUGCAGUUUUCCAUGUGAGGAAUGCUUGAUGUAGAAAGCUUCAUACUCUGUCCUUGUGUUGUAUUGUUUUCUGUUAGAGGAUAAAGGAACUUUGGCUCCAAUGCUUUAAACCACACUUGAGAGUGGAACCUCCAAUCACUUUAGCAGGUUUCUUCUAAGAACUCU